Molecule: ribosomal RNA, 444 nt
Filed under: uncultured bacterium
Lineage: Bacteria
Description: bacterial SSU rRNA
Rfam family: Bacterial small subunit ribosomal RNA
Source: RNAcentral
UGGGGAAUUUUGGACAAUGGGGGCAACCCUGAUCCAGCCAUGCCGCGUGAGUGAAGAAGGCCUUCGGGUUGUAAAGCUCUUUCGGCCGGGAAGAAAUCGUGUGGGCUAAUACCCUGCAUGGAUGACGGUACCGGAAUAAGAAGCACCGGCUAACUACGUGCCAGCAGCCGCGGUAAUACGUAGGGUGCGAGCGUUAAUCGGAAUUACUGGGCGUAAAGCGUGCGCAGGCGGUUUAGUAAGACAGGCGUGAAAUCCCCGGGCUCAACCUGGGAACUGCGCUUGUGACUGCUAAGCUAGAGUACGGCAGAGGGGGUGGAAUUCCACGUGUAGCAGUGAAAUGCGUAGAGAUGUGGAGGAACACCGAUGGCGAAGGCAGCCCCCUGGGCCGAUACUGACGCUCAUGCACGAAAGCGUGGGUAGCAAACAGGAUUAGAUACCCUGGUA